This 72-nucleotide transfer RNA is filed under the name Pteragogus cryptus (cryptic wrasse). RNAcentral's name for it is "tRNA-Pro". It matches the Rfam family "tRNA". Rfam says of the family: Transfer RNA (tRNA) molecules are approximately 80 nucleotides in length. The record is from RNAcentral. RNAcentral also lists the same sequence under 2 other names. Lineage: Eukaryota; Metazoa; Chordata; Actinopteri; Labriformes; Labridae.
CAAAGAAUAGUUUAAGCAUAAGAAUUUUAGCUUUGGGAGCUAAGGGCGUGAGUUAGAGUCUCACUUCUUUGA